CAUCCCACAUAAAGUAGAGGAAGAUUGGCAUAGAUGUUAGCUCAGUGCCAAUCUUCACUGCCCCCUCCCCAAAACAUGUAAAAAAAAAAAGUUUAAGAGUUUCACAAUUCCAGGCAGCAUUGGUGCAUUACAGGUAGAAGUCACAACUCAUAUGUGACUGAAGUUCAUGUCACUAUGGGAAUUGUAUUACUUUUAUUUUCCUUUUCUGACAUUCUUCUGCCUAUUUACUGUGUCUGCCUCUCUAUCAUUCCUUGGGCCCCAAUAUGAUUACAUCUAGCCCAUGUUUUACUUUCCUCAAUAUGAUACGGCUUUAUUCAAUAUCUUGGGUAGAUCUGCAUAUUAUCAACUUAACUCUUGACUUCUUUUCAGUACCAGUAGCAGACUGAGAGGAUGCACUUUAGAGUUGUAUGUUCUGGAUUUGUACGAGAUUAAAAACUUUAGGGAUAAAAUUGUAGGGGGUUCUACCUCAUGUGUUUGAAAAUAAAUGAUUUGGAUGAAGGAUUCACACUGAGAAAUCAUACUCUACCAUUGAAAAAUAAUCUUAUUAGGUCAUAUUUAAAUAUGCUAACAAAGGGAGAUUUUAGCUUAAAAAAGAUGAGGUGAGAAAGAGUUUUGAGAAUGAAUCUAUUAGUUAUAAGAUCCACUGCUAUAUAAACUCUUAAAAGUAGGGAAAGCUGUGAGGAUUUUAACACCUUCUGGCAUAGUGCCAGUUGUCCACCCUGCAAAAUCUACUUACUCUUCCUCCUGGGAGUAUGGUCACACAACUAGAGACUACUUUAUCCAAGCUCCUUUGCUGCAAAUGCCAUAGGACAAAGUUCCUUGCCAGGAAACAUGAGGGGAAGUGAGGUGUGCAACUUUGCCCUCACUUUCUUGCUCUGGGCUUACCUCCUUUUCACGUCCUGUGAGCUGGAGCACAGACAUAUUCGAGACCGAGCUGGACCGUGGGAGGAGGACCAUGCCCUAGGACGUGGUAGAGCAACAAGAUACAAGAACACGGUCCCUUGAUAACUGAGUGGAGUGGAACCACUCUACCAACCUGGCUGCUCGACUGGAAGCGUGCAUCUACUUUUUUAAUCCAUUGUAUUUCAGAGUAUCUUUAAUACAGAAGCAGAUUUGUCAUCUAAAUUAUGAUACUUUAUGGACAAAUACCUCAAUCCAAGAAAAAAUAUUAAGGCAAGAUGUUAAAUAAUUUUGAUAAUAAGGUGAGGACUAGUAAGAAAGGCUUUAAGUUAUGUUCAUGUUUAUAUUUUUAUAUCUUUAUUCCUUUCUCCAUACUGUUUGCUGCCCCCAGGAGACCAGCCUGCAUGGAUUAUAGAAACAGACUUUCUUGCCCUCUGAUUUCUGGUUGGGUUUGACCAGUAGGGAGUCUUGGCAAGUGAUGAGAGGUUCCCGCUAGAGCACCGAUGAAGAGAUUCUCACCUUUGGAAACAGAAGCGUAAGUAAAACAGUUUUUAUUAACCUAAAAUUCAUGUUGAUUAAUUUGCCACACAGGCAUUCAUAAUAUGCAAAGGCUGAUGAGUUCCUGACAGCAAAGGAAUUAUAGUUAUAAUGCUCCCCCCAAAAAGGAAACUGUUAUUCACAUGUUUUAUGAUUUAAAAUUUUUAUUUUUCCAUAAUGCAGUGAAUUAAAUUCAGCCAUCAUUUACUGAAGUCUGUUGCCUGGGGGCUUGGAACAUUCUUGAUAUUUAGCAAGCAGGAAAACUAAACUAAAAUUGUGACUUAUGAAUAAUGAAACAGACAAAUCUGCUCUCUCUGGUGAGAUGGAAAUAAAUAUUGUACACCUUUCCAAAUAUUUGUUUAUUUGUCCAUUUUAGUCACUCUUGCCCACAGGAUUAAGUUUUUUUCCCUCCUCUCUUUUUAAAUGGAAAUGACUAGAAGGUGGUCCCAGUUGAGAAAUGUAUUUUUAGAAAUACUGAGGUUUUUAUUCCCUUAGUAAGCAUUGUUGGCUGUUUGCAGUUAUAUAUCUCUUUUAAUAAAAAA
Equus caballus (horse) is the source of this 1979-nucleotide non-coding RNA. Lineage: Eukaryota; Metazoa; Chordata; Mammalia; Perissodactyla; Equidae. The record is from RefSeq and is a predicted model, not a curated record.